CCGGGCACAGCAUCUUAACAGCAAUAUAAACUCGAAAAAGAACCUAAUAAAAAAUGUACAAGACCUAUAAUGGAGCCUUCCCAUCCAUGAACAUGAUUUUGUAGGUACAGGUUGAAUAUCAUUUAUCCAAAAUGCUUGGGACCCGAAGUGUUUCUGAUUUCAGACGUUUUUGGAUUUUGGAAUAUCUGCAUACACAAAAGGAGCUAUCUUGGGGAUGGGACCCAAGUCUAAAUAUGAAAUUCAUUUUUUUUCAUAUACACCUUAUGCACAUAGCCUGAAGGUCCCCUGUUCCUCUCAACUUGUAGGGCUGUGGAAUGGACCUAUUUUCUACCUAAGCUCUCAUAUGCAUUGUCUCCUGAUAUGGUUUGGCUUUGUGUCCCCACCCAAACCUCAUCUCGAAUUGUAAUCCCCAGGUGUUGAGGAAGGGUCCUAGUGGGAGGAUCUGAUGAUUGGAUCAUGGGGGCAGUUUCUUCCGUGCUGUUCUCAUAAGAGCGAGUGAGUUCCCACGAGAUCUGGUGGUUUUAUAAGAGGCUCUUCCUCCUUUGCUGUGUCUCCUGCCACCUUGUGAAAAAGCUGCUUGCUUCCCCUUUGCCUUCCGCCAUGAUUGUAAGUUUCCUGAG
Molecule: long non-coding RNA, 620 nt
Filed under: Homo sapiens (human)
Lineage: Eukaryota; Metazoa; Chordata; Mammalia; Primates; Hominidae
Description: HSALNT0128705
Source: RNAcentral